Molecule: ribosomal RNA, 450 nt
Filed under: uncultured bacterium
Lineage: Bacteria
Description: partial 16S ribosomal RNA
Rfam family: Bacterial small subunit ribosomal RNA
Source: RNAcentral
GUGGGGAAUAUUGGACAAUGGGCGAAAGCCUGAUCCAGCCAUGCCGCGUGUGUGAAGAAGGUCUUCGGAUUGUAAAGCACUUUAAGUUGGGAGGAAGGGCAGUAAGUUAAUACCUUGCUGUUUUGACGUUACCGACAGAAUAAGCACCGGCUAACUUCGUGCCAGCAGCCGCGGUAAUACGAAGGGUGCAAGCGUUAAUCGGAAUUACUGUGCGUAAAGCGCGCGUAGGUGGUUGUGUAAGUUGGAGGUGAAAUCCCCGGGCUCAACCUGGGAACUGCCUCCAAAACUGCAUGACUAGAGUACGGUAGAGGGUAGUGGAAUUUCCUGUGUAGCGGUGAAAUGCGUAGAUAUAGGAAGGAACACCAGUGGCGAAGGCGACUACCUGGACUGAUACUGACACUGAGGUGCGAAAGCGUGGGGAGCAAACAGGAUUAGAUACCCCGGUAGUCC